AGCCUGCAGCUUGCAAAAGUACCUGGUUAUUUUUAUUCCUUUGAUACUUGAUCUACUAUCAAAAUAACUGAUUUUUUUCUCUUUAACUCCUUAGGAAUCCCUAAAAAACCUGCCACAGGUGAGGCACUGCCAAAAGCCCCCUCAGUUGCCCAUGCACAGGAUGGGUCGGGUCACCGCUUGCACAGCCCUGCAACUGCAGCUGUGCUUGGUGCAGGGUUUCUCCUGAAGACGUGAGGGUUUUGUCCUGCCCUGCGUGCGUUUUGCAAUCCAGAUACUCAGGUAACUCAGUGCCUGAGUGGAUUGUUUGAGUCCAGGCUGACUUGGGAGACACAUGGAAGCUAAUGUCCACCUGCCAGCUGUACGUGGGGGUCCAUGCACUUCAAGGCAGUAACAUCUCAGGUCCAGACGGGCACCCAGCAGUGGCAUCCUGGCAGAUGACUUGAGAUCUCUAUCAGAUGAUAGUGGAGGCCUCCAGAGCCUUUUCCUACGCAAGGAACAUCUUUGCUGCCGACGUAUCUUGGGCUCUCACUUGUGCUUGUCCUGGCCAUCCUUGCACAUGGUGUGUCUGCAUGUGUCCAGCUGGAAGAUGA
RNAcentral lists this long non-coding RNA (590 nucleotides) under Calidris pygmaea (Spoon-billed sandpiper). RNAcentral describes it as "lncRNA (ENSCPGG00000013682.1)". The record is from RNAcentral. Lineage: Eukaryota; Metazoa; Chordata; Aves; Charadriiformes; Scolopacidae.